GAUGAAGAACGAAGCGAAAUGCGAUAAGUAAUGUGAAUUGCAGAAUUCAGUGAAUCAUCGAAUCUUUGAACGCACAUUGCGCCCAUUAGUAUUCUAGUGGGCAUGCCUGUUCGAGCGUCAUUAAGUCCACUUAAGCCCUGCUUAGUGUUGGGAGACUGCUCCAGCGGUGCUACCCUGUAGCUACCCUGCAGCUCCUCAAAGACAGCGGCGGAGUUGUGGUAUCCUCUGAGCUUAGUAACUUGUUCUAGCUUUCGAGUACACCACUUCCCCUGCCGUAAAACCCUUAAUUUUUAAUGGUUGACCUCGGAUCAGGAAGGAAUACCCGCUGAACUUAAGCAUAUCAAUAAGCGGAGGA
This 355-nucleotide unclassified non-coding RNA is filed under the name soil metagenome. RNAcentral's name for it is "partial contains 5.8S ribosomal RNA, internal transcribed spacer 2, and large subunit ribosomal RNA". The stretch from base 1 to 120 matches the Rfam family "5.8S ribosomal RNA", at positions 35 to 154 of the family's 154-position model. The record is from RNAcentral.